GGGGAAUAUUGGACAAUGGGCGCAAGCCUGAUCCAGCCAUGCCGCGUGAGUGAUGAAGGCCUUAGGGUUGUAAAGCUCUUUUAGCAGGGAAGAUAAUGACGGUACCUGCAGAAAAAGCCCCGGCUAACUUCGUGCCAGCAGCCGCGGUAAUACGAAGGGGGCUAGCGUUGCUCGGAAUUACUGGGCGUAAAGCGCACGUAGGCGGACUCUUAAGUCGGUGGUGAAAUCCUGGAGCUCAACUCCAGAACUGCCUUCGAUACUGGGAGUCUUGAGUUCGGGAGAGGUGAGUGGAACUGCGAGUGUAGAGGUGAAAUUCGUAGAUAUUCGCAAGAACACCAGUGGCGAAGGCGGCUCACUGGCCCGAUACUGACGCUGAGGUGCGAAAGCGUGGGGAGCAAACA
RNAcentral lists this ribosomal RNA (401 nucleotides) under uncultured bacterium. RNAcentral describes it as "bacterial SSU rRNA". It matches the Rfam family "Bacterial small subunit ribosomal RNA", at positions 356 to 774 of the family's 1533-position model. The record is from RNAcentral.